This 460-nucleotide ribosomal RNA is filed under the name uncultured bacterium. Its description in RNAcentral is "partial 16S ribosomal RNA". It matches the Rfam family "Bacterial small subunit ribosomal RNA", at positions 338 to 795 of the family's 1533-position model. The record is from RNAcentral.
CCUACGGGAGGCAGCAGUGAGGAAUAUUGGUCAAUGGGCGCGAGCCUGAACCAGCCAAGUCGCGUGAGGGAUGACGGCCCUACGGGUUGUAAACCUCUUUUGCCGGGGAGCAACGGGCGCCACGUGUGGCGCCACUGAGAGUACCCGGAGAAAAAGCAUCGGCUAACUCCGUGCAAGCAGCCGCGGUAAUACGGAGGAUGCGAGCGUUCUCCGGAUUUAUUGGGUUUAAAGGGUGCGUAGGCGGAUCGUUAAGUCAGUGGUCAAAUUGAGGGGUUCAACCCCUUCCCGCCAUUGAAACUGGCGCUCUUGAGUGGAAGAGAAGUAUGCGGAAUGCGUGGUGUAGCGGUGAAAGGCAUAGAUAUCACGCAGAACCCCGAUUGCGAAGGCAGCAUGCCGGCUUCCGACUGACGCUGAAGCACGAAAGCGUGGGGAUCGAACAGGAUUAGAUACCCGAGUAGUC